CGUGCAGGCGGUUCGGUAAGUUGGAUGUGAAAGCUCCCGGCUCAACUGGGAGAGGCCGUUCAAUACUGCCGGACUAGAGGACGGUAGAGGAAGGUAGAAUUCCCGGUGUAGUGGUGAAAUGCGUAGAUAUCGGGAGGAAUACCAGUGGCGAAGGCGGCCUUCUGGGCCGUUCCUGACGCUAAGACGCGAAAGCAUGGGUAGCGAACG
RNAcentral lists this ribosomal RNA (207 nucleotides) under uncultured bacterium. RNAcentral describes it as "partial 16S ribosomal RNA". It matches the Rfam family "Bacterial small subunit ribosomal RNA", at positions 568 to 774 of the family's 1533-position model. The record is from RNAcentral.